RNAcentral lists this long non-coding RNA (364 nucleotides) under Malus domestica (apple). RNAcentral's name for it is "long non-coding RNA (MDOM_LNC018098)". The record is from RNAcentral. Lineage: Eukaryota; Viridiplantae; Streptophyta; Magnoliopsida; Rosales; Rosaceae.
AACAAAAACAAAAAUAAAGGGAUUAGCAAAGUUGCUAAUCCCCGGCAACGGCGCCAAAAUUUGAUGCGUAAAAUAAGUUAACACACAAAUUAACCCUCUUUUUGACAAUUGUAGUAUAGAUGUAAGUAGGGUAUCGUUCUAGGCCGGGGAUUAGGAGGGAUUGCUAAUCUAUUCUAAAUUAAUUUAAAAAUAUUAAACAAGACUCAAGGACACAAACUAGGCUAAAAACUCUAAUAACUCGAAACACACUUAGAAUGACUCAAAAUAAUGAAAACAAUCAAAUUAGACACUAGGAACUGAAAUGGACGGAAAUUGAAUUAAAAGACUAACAACAAUGAAAGCUAACUAAAUAAUAUAAUUUAAU